This 408-nucleotide ribosomal RNA is filed under the name Orientzomus sp. 848.1. Its description in RNAcentral is "partial 12S ribosomal RNA". Lineage: Eukaryota; Metazoa; Arthropoda; Arachnida; Schizomida; Hubbardiidae. The record is from RNAcentral.
UUGUAAUUAUUUAUUUGAAUUUUAUUUGUUAAACAUUUUAAUUUUAAAACUAUUGGCGGUAAUUAAUUAAAUUCUGAGGAACUUGUUUAUUUAAUUUGAUAUUACUCAAUAAAUUUUAUCUAAAGUUAAUUUUAUGUAUUGCUGUUUAUUUAUUUAUUAUUUACAAUUUAAUAAAUUAAAUUAAUUUUAAUUUAAAAUUUAAGAAAAUCAAGUCAAAAUGUAGAUUUCUUUAGGUGUAAAUGAGUUACUUUUAUCUUGAACGAUGAGGCUGUAAAGGAAAAUGAAAUAUUUUUUUUGAAAUAAGGUUGGAUUAGGGUGUAAAAAUAAAUUAAUAAGUUUUUUUGAUAUAUUUAUUAUUAUGUCCAUAUCGCCCGUCGCUUAAAAAUUUAAAUUUUUAAUAAAUUUUUA